Molecule: ribosomal RNA, 406 nt
Filed under: uncultured bacterium
Lineage: Bacteria
Description: bacterial SSU rRNA
Rfam family: Bacterial small subunit ribosomal RNA
Source: RNAcentral
UGAGGAAUUUUCCGCAAUGGGCGAAAGCCUGACGGAGCAAUGCCGCGUGAAGGAUGAAGGCCUAUGGGUUGUAAACUUCUUUUCUCAGAGAAGAAAUUUUGACGGUAUCUGAGGAAUAAGCAUCGGCUAACUCUGUGCCAGCAGCCGCGGUAAGACAGAGGAUGCAAGCGUUAUCCGGAAUAAUUGGGCGUAAAGCGUCUGUAGGUGGUUAGACAAGUCUUUUGUCAAAGAUCAGGGCUUAACCCUGGGCCGGCAAGAGAAACUAUUUGACUAGAGUUCGGUAGGGGCAGAGGGAAUUCCCGGUGGAGCGGUGAAAUGCGUAGAGAUCGGGAGGAACACCAAAGGCGAAAGCACUCUGCUGGGCCGCCACUGACACUGAGAGACGAAAGCGAGGGGAGCAAAUGGG